CCCUUAGAUGUUCUGGGCCGCACGCGCGCUACACUGACGAAUGCAACGAGCUUAUAACCUUGGCCGAAAGGUCUGGGUAAUCUCCAAAUUUCGUCGUGAUGGGGAUAGAUUAUUGCAAUUAUUAAUCUUCAACGAGGAAUGCCUAGUAAGCGCAAGUCAUCAGCUUGCGUUGAUUACGUCCCUGCCCUUUGUACACACCGCCUGUCGCUCCUACCGAUUGAAUGGUCCGGUGAAGCGUUCGGACCGUGGCCUUUGGACGGUUCGCCGUCUGUUGGCUGCGGGAAGUUCGUUAAACCUUAUCAUUUGGAGGAAGGAGAAGUCGUAACA
RNAcentral lists this ribosomal RNA (327 nucleotides) under uncultured eukaryote. RNAcentral's name for it is "partial 18S ribosomal RNA". It matches the Rfam family "Eukaryotic small subunit ribosomal RNA", at positions 1470 to 1796 of the family's 1831-position model. The record is from RNAcentral.